GUGCUUAUAGGUUUGCUUUGUGUGUAAGUAUGUGUGUACCUGUUCAUAUGUGAUUGUGUUUAGUGUAAUUCUGGGUUUAUGUAAGAGUUUGCAUGCGUGUGAGUGUGUUUGUGUGUGUGUAAUUUCACUUUUGUGUAUUUGUGUGUGUGCUUUUGUUUGUGUGUGUGUGUGUGUGCAUGUGUGUGUGUGUUCUCACCUCCUUUUGACUCUUGUAUCUGUAUUGCCUGCACCUUGGUGCAAGAGAGUGUAGAGGCCAGAAGUCAGUCCAGCUGCUGUUCUUAAGCAGAGAGAGUUUGAGAUGUCUGUGGAUGAAUCCACAGGGACUGCAAGGUUCUGUGGGAAGACAUCUAGUACUUCCCGGAGCAGCUGCAACAGCCAGGACACAUGGAAGUACAAUGGAGGGAGCAUUUGCAGGGAUACAACAUCUACAGACAGUGAGGAGGAGUUACCACCCCU
Molecule: long non-coding RNA, 456 nt
Organism: Mastomys coucha (southern multimammate mouse)
Lineage: Eukaryota; Metazoa; Chordata; Mammalia; Rodentia; Muridae
Exons: 3
Source: RefSeq, a predicted model, not a curated record